CCUACGGUGUGCUGCAGUGGGGGAUAUUGCACAAUGGGGGGAACCCUGAUGCAGCGACGCCGCGUGGGUGAAGGAGUGCUUCGGCAUGUAAAGCCCUAUCGGCAGGGACGAAGCAAGACGGUAACUGACUAAGAAGCACCGACUAACUACGUGCCAGCAGCCGCGGUAAUACGUAGGGGGCGAGCGUGAUCCGGAUUCACUGGGUGUAAAGUGAGCGCAGACGGCGAUGCAAGCCAGUAGUGAAAGCCCGGGGCCCAACCCCGGGACUGUGCUUGGAAGUGCGUGGCUGGAGUGCAGGAGGGGCAGGCGGAAUUCCUGGUGUAGCGGUGAAAUGCGUAGAUAUUAGGAGGAACACCGGUGGCGAAGGCGGCCUGCUGGACUGCAACUGACGUUGAGGCCCGAAAGCGUGGGGAGCAAACAGGAUUAGAUACCCCAGUAGUC
RNAcentral lists this ribosomal RNA (441 nucleotides) under uncultured bacterium. RNAcentral's name for it is "partial 16S ribosomal RNA". It matches the Rfam family "Bacterial small subunit ribosomal RNA", at positions 338 to 795 of the family's 1533-position model. The record is from RNAcentral.